This 467-nucleotide ribosomal RNA is filed under the name uncultured bacterium. RNAcentral's name for it is "partial 16S ribosomal RNA". It matches the Rfam family "Bacterial small subunit ribosomal RNA", at positions 29 to 507 of the family's 1533-position model. The record is from RNAcentral.
ACGCACGCUGGCGGCGUGCUUAACACAUGCAAGUCGAACGGAAAGGCCCUGCUUUUGUGGGGUGCUCGAGUGGCGAACGGGUGAGUAACACGUGAGUAACCUGCCCUUGACUUUGGGAUAACUUCAGGAAACUGGGGCUAAUACCGGAUAGGAGCUCCUGCUGCAUGGUGGGGGUUGGAAAGUUUCGGCGGUUGGGGAUGGACUCGCGGCUUAUCAGCUUGUUGGUGGGGUAGUGGCUUACCAAGGCUUUGACGGGUAGCCGGCCUGAGAGGGUGACCGGCCACAGUGGGACUGAGAUACGGCCCAGACUCCUACGGGAGGCAGCAGUGGGGAAUAUUGCACAAUGGGCGGAAGCCUGAUGCAGCAACGCCGCGUGCGGGAUGACGGCCUUCGGGUUGUAAACCGCUUUCGCCUGUGACGAAGCGUGAGUGACGGUAAUGGGUAAAGAAGCACCGGCUAACUACGUG